Molecule: ribosomal RNA, 440 nt
Filed under: uncultured bacterium
Lineage: Bacteria
Description: partial 16S ribosomal RNA
Rfam family: Bacterial small subunit ribosomal RNA
Source: RNAcentral
CCUACGGGAGGCAGCAGUAGGGCAUAUUGCUCAAUGGGGGAAACCCUGAAGCAGCAACGCCGCGUGGAGGAUGAAGGUUUUCGGAUUGUAAACUCCUUUUGUUAGAGAAGAUAAUGACGGUAUCUAACGAAUAAGAACCGGCUAACUCCGUGCCAGCAGCCGCGGUAAUACGGAGGGUGCAAGCGUUACUCGGAAUCACUGGGCGGAAAGAGCGCGUAGGCGGGAUAGCAAGUCAGAUGUGAAAUCCUAUGGCUUAACCAUAGAACUGCAUUUGAAACUGUUAUUCUAGAGUAUGGGAGAGGGAGGUGGAAUUCUUGGUGUAGGGGUAAAAUCCGUAGAGAUCAAGAGGAAUACUCAUUGCGAAGGCGACCUGCUAGAACAUAACUGACGCUGAUGCGCGAAAGCGUGGGGAGCAAACAGGAUUAGAUACCCCUGUAGUG